Long non-coding RNA from Candoia aspera, 253 nucleotides. RefSeq lists it as uncharacterized. The transcript has 3 exons. Lineage: Eukaryota; Metazoa; Chordata; Lepidosauria; Squamata; Candoiidae. The record is from RefSeq and is a predicted model, not a curated record.
GAAUCUGGCAGGCCAGGCGGUUGCUCCGGGGAUGGGUCCUGGACAUGGAGACUUUCUCCGUGAGUGAGGCCUUGUUGAGCUUUGGUUCUGUGAUUGAGAUCUCCAGCCUCCGGGAAGCCAUCAAAGAUGCCAUUGCUUCUGUGCUCCCCAAAGUGGAAAGAGUGUUUGUUUACCUCCUGGAUGGGGAAGCGCGUCUGACCUGCAGCGACCCACCACAUGACUUUCCGCAGGAGGGCCAGCUCAGGUGAGGCUC